RNAcentral lists this ribosomal RNA (906 nucleotides) under uncultured organism. Its description in RNAcentral is "bacterial SSU rRNA". It matches the Rfam family "Bacterial small subunit ribosomal RNA", at positions 18 to 967 of the family's 1533-position model. The record is from RNAcentral.
CCUGGCUCAGGAUGAACGCUGGCGGUCUGCUUAACACAUGCAAGUCGAACGCAACCUUCGGGUUGAGUGGCGGACGGGUGAGUAACGCGUGAGAAUCUGCCUUGGGGUCGGGGACAACCACUGGAAACGGUGGCUAAUACCGGAUAAGCCUUUGGGUAAAAAAUUUAUUGCCCCAAGAGGAGCUCGCGUCUGAUUAGCUAGUUGGUGAGGUAAAAGCUCACCAAGGCAGCGAUCAGUAGCUGGUCUGAGAGGACGAUCAGCCACACUGGGACUGAGACACGGCCCAGACUCCUACGGGAGGCAGCAGUGGGGAAUUUUCCGCAAUGGGCGAAAGCCUGACGGAGCAAGACCGCGUGAGGGAGGAAGGCUCUUGGGUUGUAAACCUCUUUUCUCAGGGAAGAAGCUCUGACGGUACCUGAGGAAUCAGCCUCGGCUAACUCCGUGCCAGCAGCCGCGGUAAUACGGAGGAGGCAAGCGUUAUCCGGAAUUAUUGGGCGUAAAGCGUCCGCAGGUGGCGAUUCAAGUCUGCUGUCAAAGCACGGGGCUUAACUCCGUUAAGGCAGUGGAAACUGAAUAGCUAGAGUGCCGUAGGGGUAGAGGGAAUUCCCGGUGUAGCGGUGAAAUGCGUAGAGAUCGGGAAGAACAUCGGUGGCGAAAGCGCUCUACUGGACGGCAACUGACACUCAGGGACGAAAGCUAGGGGAGCGAAUGGGAUUAGAUACCCCAGUAGUCCUAGCUGUAAACGAUGGAUACUAGGUGUAGCUUGUAUCGGCCCGAGCUGUGCCGAAGCUAACGCGUUAAGUAUCCCGCCUGGGGAGUACGCACGCAAGUGUGAAACUCAAAGGAAUUGACGGGGGCCCGCACAAGCGGUGGGAGUAUGUGGUUUAAUUCGAUGCAACGCGAAGA